Molecule: long non-coding RNA, 979 nt
Organism: Phyllopteryx taeniolatus (common seadragon)
Lineage: Eukaryota; Metazoa; Chordata; Actinopteri; Syngnathiformes; Syngnathidae
Exons: 4
Source: RefSeq, a predicted model, not a curated record
GUGAAAAUGAGUGUGUGAGAUCAUCACAUCAUUAAAAGUUAGCAUUUACAAUGGCGUAUGCGAAACAGGCCAGAUUCAACCAUUCUGUGUGGGAAAACCGCCUUCAUCGCCUCAUCACUUGGAAGGAUCGUCUUUGGGCCUGUGGGAGUGAUGAGGUCUGGGGGAUCACGACCUUAAUUUUCUCCAAGACAGACGCUUAAUUAACACUGGAGGAACCCUGGCUGGCUUCAGACCGAAUAUUGGAAUGUUCAAGGGAAUUAAGUCUGAUUUGGUGCUGCUACAAAAAAGGAAAAACUCCGACUGCAACGGACAAUCAAAACUGCUGAAAAGAUUGUCGGUACCCCCGUACCCACCCUUGAGGACUUGCACCCUGCCAGAACUAUGACAAGAGCAUGCAAAAUCCUCUCGGACCCUCCACAUCCCGGUCACCAGCUCUUCCGGCUCCUUCCCUCUGAAAAGCACCGCCCACUCUGGAGGAUGUUUGUCACUGACAACAGUUACGAAUCAUCCUUCUCAUUCCCUACAGACUGUGGAGACAAACUACAUUCAUAGUGCAGGAAGGAAUGUUACCUGUGACAGUUUCCUUAUACAAACAACUAUUACAUUGUUCAAUGCGACACUUUGUGGAUAUUCACUUAAACACAUCUAUUUUUUUUGUGUUGCACCUCUACAUUAAUUUCACAAAAGAUAUGAAGGUAGGUUUACCCUCCUACCGAGCAAAGGUAGAUUUCUACACAUUGUUGCUGUACAGUGAAAAGUAAUGAUCUUAAAAUAUAAUUAAAAAUUUAAGAAUAAUCUCACAAAAUUGCUUACAGUAAUGUAGUUCAAUUUGUUCUUUACCCAGUUACCGUUACCAUAGUCAUUAUACUUUGUAUACUUUUCCCUUUAUUUUUUUUCUACUUAUAAUUAUUUUACUGCUUACUUUUCUUUAUGCUGUUGUAUUCAAACAAGUGAAUUUCCCUGAUUUGGGAUUAAUAAA